RNAcentral lists this transfer RNA (57 nucleotides) under Salmo salar (Atlantic salmon). It matches the Rfam family "tRNA", at positions 10 to 63 of the family's 71-position model. From Rfam's summary of the family: Transfer RNA (tRNA) molecules are approximately 80 nucleotides in length. Their secondary structure includes four short double-helical elements and three loops (D, anti-codon, and T loops). The record is from Rfam by way of RNAcentral. Lineage: Eukaryota; Metazoa; Chordata; Actinopteri; Salmoniformes; Salmonidae.
GUUCAUAUGGGCAGAGCAUGGUGUUUGCAACACCAGGGUUGUGGGUUCGAUUCCCAC